This 459-nucleotide ribosomal RNA is filed under the name Leuconostoc mesenteroides. RNAcentral's name for it is "bacterial SSU rRNA". It matches the Rfam family "Bacterial small subunit ribosomal RNA", at positions 384 to 835 of the family's 1533-position model. Lineage: Bacteria; Bacillati; Bacillota; Bacilli; Lactobacillales; Lactobacillaceae. The record is from RNAcentral.
UGAUGGAGCACGCCGCGUGUGUGAUGAAGGCUUUCGGGUCGUAAAGCACUGUUGUAUGGGAAGAACAGCUUGAAUAGGAAAUGAUUUUAGUUUGACGGUACCAUACCAGAAAGGGACGGCUAAAUACGUGCCAGCAGCCGCGGUAAUACGUAUGUCCCGAGCGUUAUCCGGAUUUAUUGGGCGUAAAGCGAGCGCAGACGGUUUUUUAAGUCUGAUGUGAAAGCCCGGAGCUCAACUCCGGAAUGGCAUUGGAAACUGGUUAACUUGAGUGCAGAAGAGGUAAGUGGAACUCCAUGUGUAGCGGUGGAAUGCGUAGAUAUAUGGAAGAACACCAGUGGCGAAGGCGGCUUACUGGACUGCAACUGACGUUGAGGCUCGAAAGUGUGGGUAGCAAACAGGAUUAGAUACCNNGGUAGUCNNNGAUCAAGCCNNCNUCGCCACUGNUGUUCGUCCAUAUAU